AAAUAUGUAAAAUAGAAUAAAAUAAAUUGAUUUUGACGAUGAUACGAAAAUAAUUAAAUGGGCAAAGAGUAGCCUUCCAACAAACAGUGCUGGAAAAGAAUUAGGCUAUCUCUACCUCUCAUUGUAUACAUUUGACUCAAGGAGUUCCUGUGGUGGCAGAGCAGAAAUGAAUCAGACUAGGAACCAUGAGAUUGCAGGUUUGAUCCCUGGCCUCGCUCAGUGGGUUAAGGAUCUGGCAUUGCCGUGAGCUGUGGUGUAGGUCACAGAUGCAGCUUGGAUCCUGCAUUGCUGCGGCUGUGGUGUAGGCCAUCGGCUGUAGCUCUGAUUCAAACUCUAGCCCUGGAACCUCCACAUGCUGCAGGUGCAGCCCUAAAAAGCAAAAACAAAACAAAUUUAACUCAAGCUGGAGUUCCCAUUGUGGCUUAGCAGUAACAAACCCACCUAAUAUCCAUGAGGAUGUGGGUUCAAUUCCUGGCCUUGCUCAGUGGGUAAAGAAUCUGGCAUUGCCAUGAGCUGCAGUGUAGUUCACAGAUGUGGCUCAGAUCUGGUGUUGCUGUGGCUAUGGCGUAGGUCUGCAGCUACAGCUCUGAAUUGACCCCUAGGCUGGGAACUUCCAUAUGCCACAGGUUUUACCCAAAAAAGACCAAAAAAAAAAAAUUAACUCAAGGUGAAUUAAAGACCUAAGUAUAAGAGCUAAAACCAUAAAUUUGGGGCGGGGGUGGGGGUGGGGGGGCUUGCCCACAGCACGCAGAAGUUCCCAGGGCCAGGGAUAGAACCUGUGCCACAGUAGUAAUGACACUGGAUCCUUAAUCCAUUGAACCACCAGCAAACUCUCCCAUAACACUUUUAGAAGAAAACAUAGGCGUGGAGUUCCCGUCUCAGCGCAGCGGAAAUGAAUCCAGCUAGGAACCAUAAGGUUGCAGGUUUGAUCCCUGGUCUCAUUCAGUGGGUUAAGGAUCCAGCGUUGCCAUGAACUAUGGUGUAGGUCACAGACAAGGCUCGGAUCUGGUGUUGCUGUGGCUGUGGUGUAGAUCGGGAUACAGCUCCGAUUCAUCCCCUAGCCUGGGAACUUCCAUAUGCCACGGGUGCAGCCCUAAGAAACAAACAAACAAAAAAGGAAGAAAACAUAGGUAAAAAAAAUAGAUAAAUUGAAUUUCUCCCAAAUUAAAAAAAAAAAUUGUUUCAAAGGACACCACCAAGAAAGUGAAAAUGAUUAUCUCAACUAAUGCAGAAAAAAAUUGUAUUUUGUCUUUUAUUUUGGCUGUGCCAGUGGCAUGCAAAGGGUCCUAGGCCAGGGAUCAAACACGGGCCCAGGAGUUCCUGUCGUGGCUCAGUGGUUAAUGAAUCCAACUAAGAACCAUGAGGUUGCGGGUUUGAUCCCUGGCCUUGCUUAGUGGGUUAAGGAUCCAGCAUUGCCAUGACCUGUAGUAUAGGUUGCAGACGCAGCUCAGAUCCCACGUUGCUGUGGCUCUGGUGUAGGCCAGCAGCUGUGGCUCCAAUUCGACCCCUAGCCUGGGAACCUCCAUAUGCUGCGGAAGCAGCCCAAGAAAUGGCAGAAAGACAAAAACAAACAAACAAACAAACAAAGAACAAAAAACGAAAAACAAAAAAACACGGGCCCAGGUUUUUAACACUGAGCCACCAGGGAAUUCCAAAAGUUUCUAAAAAAAUGCAACAUUCUUUCACUAUAACACUCAGAAGAGUAAAGUAGUAAAAUACAGGAACUUCUUCAACAUGGCAAAGGGCAUUUAUGAAGAAGCCCUGCCUAACUUUGUGCUCAAUGGUGAAAGAGAGAAAUCUUCCCCCUUAAGACAGGAACAAGACAAGGAUGCCUGCUCUCACCACUGCUAUCCAACAUUGUACUGGAAGUUCUAGACUGAACAAUUAGAUGAAAUGAAAGGCAUCCAGAUCAGAAAGGAAGAAAAGUGUUUGCAGAUGAUAUGAACUUAUAUAGAGAAAACCCCCAGGGAACCCACAAGAAAUUAAUCCACAAGAAAACCACUAGCACUAAUAAAUGAAGUUGAACAAAUCUGCAAGGUAGAACAUCAACCCACAAAAAUCAGCUGUGGGGAUAAGCAAUGAGGUCCUGCUAUACAACACAGUGAACUAUAUCCAAUCACUUGUGAUAGAACAUGAUGGAAGAUAAUGAGAAAAAAAUGUGUAUAUAUGUAUUUUAUACAUAUAUGUAUGACUCAGUCACUUUGCUGUACAGCAGAAGUUGACAGAACACUGUAAACCAACUGUAACAAAAAAUUUAAAACAAACAAAAACGACAAUGACAAAAAAUCAGUUGUAGGAGAGUUUCAGUUGUGGCUCAGAGGGUUGCAAACCCAACAGGUAUCCUUGAGGAUGUGGGUUCAGUCCCUGGUCUCACUCAGAGGGUUAAGGAUACAGCAUUGCUGCAGCUGUGGCAUAGGUUACAAUUGAGGUUUGGAUCUGAUCCCUGGCCUGGGAAAUCCAUAUGCUGUGGGGCAG
This 2475-nucleotide long non-coding RNA is filed under the name Sus scrofa (pig). RNAcentral describes it as "lncRNA (ENSSSCG00025026469.1)". Lineage: Eukaryota; Metazoa; Chordata; Mammalia; Artiodactyla; Suidae. The record is from RNAcentral.